Aotus nancymaae (Ma's night monkey) is the source of this 140-nucleotide small nucleolar RNA. NCBI's taxonomy places the organism in Eukaryota, Metazoa, Chordata, Mammalia, Primates, Aotidae. The record is from Ensembl.
UGCAUUGCCAUGGUAUCUGCACUCAGUAGUUUAUUCCUGCUGGGUGUUCAAAGAUCAGUGCCAUAGAAAUUCAGUAUCUGGCAUCACUGGUUUUCUUGGCUUUGUGCUUGUUAAAACUUGGUAUUUCUAUUGACUUAGUA